Molecule: ribosomal RNA, 468 nt
Filed under: uncultured bacterium
Lineage: Bacteria
Description: partial 16S ribosomal RNA
Rfam family: Bacterial small subunit ribosomal RNA
Source: RNAcentral
GACGAACGCUGGCGGCGUGCUUAACACAUGCAAGUCGAACGGAAAGGCCCUGCUUUUGUGGGGUGCUCGAGUGGCGAACGGGUGAGUAACACGUGAGUAACCUGCCCUUGACUUUGGGAUAACUUCAGGAAACUGGGGCUAAUACCGGAUAGGAGCUCCUGCUGCAUGGUGGGGGUUGGAAAGUUUCGGCGGUUGGGGAUGGACUCGCGGCUUAUCAGCUUGUUGGUGGGGUAGUGGCUUACCAAGGCUUUGACGGGUAGCCGGCCUGAGAGGGUGACCGGCCACAUUGGGACUGAGAUACGGACCAGACUCGUACGGGAGGCAGCAGUGGGGAAUAUUGCACAAUGGGCGGAAGCCUGAUGCAGCAACGCCGCGUGCGGGAUGACGGCCUUCGGGUUGUAAACCGCUUUCGCCUGUGACGAAGCGUGAGUGACGGUAAUGGGUAAAGAAGCAACGGCUAACUACGUG